RNAcentral lists this transfer RNA (69 nucleotides) under Freyastera benthophila. RNAcentral describes it as "tRNA-Gly". Lineage: Eukaryota; Metazoa; Echinodermata; Asteroidea; Brisingida; Brisingidae. The record is from RNAcentral.
GUUUCAUAAGUAUAUUAGUAUAUUUGAUUUCCAAUCAAGGGGUUUUUGAUAAAUUUCAAAAAUGAAAUA